AUGGAUGAUCCUGCUGCUCAAGCUCAGCCUCCUGUCGUGGAGGAUCCUGCCGCUCAGCCUCCUGUAGUGGCUGCUCAGCCUCCUGUCGUGGAGGAUCCUGCUGCUCAGGCUGAGGAUGUCACGCCGUUGGUUAAUUGGGUCCCAGUGUUUCAACGAAGCAAAGCAUCUGUCUUCCUCACCCAGUUUACACCAGUAAGAGGUCAGGCCAUUAACGCCCGGGUUAUCGCUAAAGAUGCCGGCUCCAAGACUGCAGAACAGCUCGACGCAAUUUUCGCAUCACCGUGGUUUACAGAAACGGGAGUUUCGUCGCACAUGGACGGCGACUAUCUCUACAUACUGACCACCGCACACAUUGUGGACCAUCUGUUCCAUGCGGUCAACAGGCCAAUUGAUCCAGCCACGGUGAACCAGCUCUUUACAAUCGAGGUCACAUGUUUCCAUGCCGAGAGAGACUUCACAGUUAAUAGGAACAUGGGUGGCGAUCGCACCUACACGGCGGCGACGGUCUGCGGGAUUGACUGUCUCAGAGAUCUCAUGAUGCUGCGUGUUGGUCGGACAGAGCUGGCCGUGAGGGGCGUCGGGCAGCAGAGGGUGCAAUGCACACGGCAGCACCCGGUUCUGCAGUUUGAUGGAGCACGCGAGCUUGGCAUGCAGUGCAUGCUUGUUUCGUGGCCUCCGUUCCGUCCGUGCACGUUUGCCACGGGCCUUCAGUGCCUCCACCGGGUUUUGACUGGCAUGAGCACCAACCCAGUUGGGUAUGAUAUGGAGCUGCUCGAGGCUUACAUUGGAUCCGAUCACGGGUCCUCGGGAGGCCCUCUCUUCAACGCCGCUGGCUGGGUCAAGGGUAUUCUGCAUGGAGGGAGUGGGGCGCACUCUCAGUUCAUCUUGCCUAGAGACAUUCUACCUUUCAUCCAGAACAAUGCAGUUCCCCCUCAGCCACCGUCAACGUCAUCUUCACCUCCCCGGGGUCCCAGAGGAGGAGGAGGAGGAGGAGGUCCCAAGCGCGGUCCUAACAAAGAUGACAAGUCGGGUCCCUCAGAUCCUCCAAAGCGCCGUCGGAGUGUCCGUGACAAGGGCAAGGCCACCGCUGCAUGGGGAUCCGGCCGGUGGAGGUACACGCUCAGAUCCCACGGCAAGGGCAUGGCCGUUGGUGCAGGUGGAUCCGGCCAGAAGUAUCUGCUUAGACCCCGCUCAUGA
RNAcentral lists this ribosomal RNA (1197 nucleotides) under Triticum aestivum (bread wheat). Its description in RNAcentral is "partial small subunit ribosomal RNA". Lineage: Eukaryota; Viridiplantae; Streptophyta; Magnoliopsida; Poales; Poaceae. The record is from RNAcentral.